GACGAACGCUGGCGGCGUGCUUAGCACAUGCAAGUCGAACGGAAAGGCCCUGCUUUUGUGGGGUGCUCGAGUGGCGAACGGGUGAGUAACACGUGAGUAACCUGCCCUUGACUUUGGGAUAACUUCAGGAAACUGGGGCUAAUACCGGAUAGGAGCUCCUGCUGCAUGGUGGGGGUUGGAAAGUUUCGGCGGUUGGGGAUGGACUCGCGGCUUAUCAGCUUGUUGGUGGGGUAGUGGCUUACCAAGGCUUUGACGGGUAGCCGGCCUGAGAGGGUGACCGGCCACAUUGGGACUGAGAUACGGCCCAGACUCCUACGGGAGGCAGCAGUGGGGAAUAUUGUACAAUGGGCGGAAGCCUGAUGCAGCAACGCCGCGUGCGGGAUGACGGCCUUCGGGUUGUAAACCGCUUUCGCCUGUGACGAAGCGUGAGUGACGGUAAUGGGUAAAGAAGCACCGGCUAACUACGUG
Molecule: ribosomal RNA, 468 nt
Filed under: uncultured bacterium
Lineage: Bacteria
Description: partial 16S ribosomal RNA
Rfam family: Bacterial small subunit ribosomal RNA
Source: RNAcentral